Molecule: long non-coding RNA, 1033 nt
Filed under: Mastacembelus armatus (zig-zag eel)
Lineage: Eukaryota; Metazoa; Chordata; Actinopteri; Synbranchiformes; Mastacembelidae
Description: lncRNA (ENSMAMG00000026797.1)
Source: RNAcentral
UUCAUGUUCACACUGAACUCUAAUGAGCCCAGGAACAGUUGUUAAUGAUGAUUUUCAGCUGGUUUGCACAUGAUGAUGAGUUAAUGUUAUUUUGCUGGUCAGAAUUUAUGGUUUUCUGGUGCUUAUACAAUAUGAACUGAACUAAAUGACCUGACUAUUUCAGCAUCUUAAAGUGUAUUAUAAUAAUACUACAAAAUGAGUUUGUAAUGCCCUUGAAAAGAAACAAUUCAGAGUGCUAGAAUUAAAAGUAUGAUUCAGAAUUCAAACAACUGAGUUUAGUAUCUAAUGACUGCCAUUUCUGUUUUUUUGUAUUUUUGUUACUUAGAAAAAAAAAAGCAAACUUAAAAAAUCCCUGUGAGAUAUUUGAUGUUACCCACAGAAACAUAUGCUAUAAUAUGAUAUAAUCCCUUCUAAAUAUCUGAUUGUGUGUCAGCCAAGGGUCAAGGUUCAUCCAAGCAAACUGUCAACACUGCAUUUUAUUUUAUGUCGAGACAAAACGACUGACUCCUUCUUAAAUAUGACAGUUUUACACAUUUAACGAAUCUGAACAACACUACAGCUGUCAGCUGCUAAUGUCUGGUUUGCGUACAGUUUACAUGAAUCAUCGAUUAGGUAAUCGAUUGAGCUGAUUGCCUCGUGUUGUGUUCAGUCAAGCAACGUUGGUGAGCGGGUAACUAGCUUAGUGCCGUUAGCUGUGUUAACUAAAGCUAACUCACGGACGGCGAUGGGGACUAGUGGAAACUAAGCUAAACUUUGUGCUCAUGGUGAAUGCUGUACCUUCCUGAUGAACUGAAACAGGCUGAAACCCAGGUUCACAGUGGCGUUUGCUCCAUCUUUUGUCUGGAUGUUGUGACUUCAGGCCUUUAACCUCCUUCCUGUUGCUCAUCUGAGACGCUGCUGACUGUGGAGCUGAGGUUCAUUCUGCUGCCGUAAGUCACUUUGCAUCAGCUAAAGACCCUAUUUAACAGCUAAUGUACAUCUAAUUCACUUUACUCCAGAAUGUUAAACUUUAAAAUUUGAUAUUCCCUGAUUU